Molecule: ribosomal RNA, 256 nt
Filed under: uncultured bacterium
Lineage: Bacteria
Description: partial small subunit ribosomal RNA
Rfam family: Bacterial small subunit ribosomal RNA
Source: RNAcentral
AGGACGAACGCUGGCGGCGUGCUUAACACAUGCAAGUCGAACGGUGAAGCCCUUCGGGGUGGAUCAGUGGCGAACGGGUGAGUAACACGUGAGCAAUCUGCCCUUGACUCUGGGAUAGCUUCGGGAAACCGGAGCUAAUACCGGAUAUGACACACGAUCGCAUGAUCUGUGUGUGGAAAGAUUUAUUGGUCAGGGAUGAGCUCGCGGCCUAUCAGCUUGUUGGUGGGGUAAUGGCCUACCAAGGCGACGACGGGUA